RNAcentral lists this unclassified non-coding RNA (349 nucleotides) under Homo sapiens (human). RNAcentral's name for it is "HLA-F antisense RNA 1 (ENSG00000243430.1)". Lineage: Eukaryota; Metazoa; Chordata; Mammalia; Primates; Hominidae. The record is from RNAcentral.
UGCGAGGAAAGCAAAGUCUGGGCCAUGGAGAUGAGCCUAGUCCUGCUGUUCCUGAUCCGCACUGCCCUUUUUGCACCCCAGGGAGCUGCUGCUGAGCCCCACAGUCUUUGUUACAACCUCACGGUGCUGUCCCAGGAUGGAUCUGUGCAGUCAGGGUUUCUCGCUGAGGGACAUCUGGAUGGUCAGCUCUUCCUGCUCUGUGACAGGCAGAAAGGCAGGGCAGGGCCCUGGGGACAGUGGGCAGAAGCAGUCCUGGGAGCUGAGACCUGGGACACAGAGACUGAAGACUUGACAGAGAAUGGGCAGGAGCUCAGGAGGACCCUGGCUCAUAUCAAGGGCCAGAAAGGAG